RNAcentral lists this ribosomal RNA (449 nucleotides) under uncultured bacterium. Its description in RNAcentral is "partial 16S ribosomal RNA". It matches the Rfam family "Bacterial small subunit ribosomal RNA", at positions 28 to 523 of the family's 1533-position model. The record is from RNAcentral.
GACGAACGCUGGCAGCAGGCUUAACACAUGCAAGUCGAACGCAUCCUUCGGGGUGAGUGGCAGACGGGUGAGUAACGCGUGGGAACGUGCCCUUCAGUUCGGGAUAACCCAGGGAAACUUGGGCUAAUACCGGAUACGUGCGAGAGCGGAAAGAUUUAUCGCUGAAGGAUCGGCCCGCGUCUGAUUAGCUAGGUGGUGGGGUAAUGGCCCACCAAGGCGACGAUCAGUAGCUGGUCUGAGAGGAUGAUCAGCAACAUUGGGACUGAGACACGGCCCGACCUCCUACGGGAGGCAGCAGUGGGGAAUAUUGGACAAUGGGCGCAAGCCUGAUCCAGCCAUGCCGCGUGAGUGAUGAAGGCCUUAGGGCUGUAAAGCUCUUUCGUCCGGGACGAUAAUGACGGUACCGGAAGAAGAAGCCCCGGCUAACUUCGUGCCAGCCGCCGCAGUAA